UACGUAGGUCCCGAGCGUUGUCCGGAUUUAUUGGGCGUAAAGCGAGCGCAGGUGGUUUAUUAAGUCUGGUGUAAAAGGCAGUGGCUCAGCCAUUGUAUGCAUUGGGAAACUGGUAGACUUGAGUGCAGGAGAGGAGAGUGGAAUUCCAUGUGUAGCGGUGAAAUGCGUAGAUAUAUGGAGGAACACCGGUGGCGAAAGCGGCUCUCUGGCCUGUAACUGACACUGAGGCUCGAAAGCGUGGGGAGCAAACAGG
This 253-nucleotide ribosomal RNA is filed under the name uncultured bacterium. RNAcentral describes it as "partial 16S ribosomal RNA". It matches the Rfam family "Bacterial small subunit ribosomal RNA", at positions 524 to 776 of the family's 1533-position model. The record is from RNAcentral.